This 309-nucleotide unclassified non-coding RNA is filed under the name uncultured fungus. RNAcentral describes it as "sequence contains ITS1". The stretch from base 1 to 105 matches the Rfam family "5.8S ribosomal RNA", at positions 50 to 154 of the family's 154-position model. The record is from RNAcentral. Lineage: Eukaryota; Fungi.
GAAAUGCGAAAAGUAGUGUGAAUUGCAGAAUUCAGUGAAUCAUCGAAUCUUUGAACGCACAUUGCGCCCCUUGGUAUUCCAUGGGGCAUGCCUGUUCGAGCGUCAUUUGUACCUUCAAGCACUGCUUGGUGUUGGGUGUCUUUUGUCCCCGCCUCUGCGCGUGGGACACACCUCAAAUCCAUUGGCAGCCGGCGUAUUUGCCUUGGAGCGCAGCACAUUUUGCGCCCCUCGGCCUGCACGUUGGCGUCCAUGAAGCCUACAUUUUUUGCUCUUGACCUCGGAUCAGGUAGGGAUACCCGCUGAACUUAA